This is a long non-coding RNA of Cucurbita moschata (crookneck pumpkin), 90 nucleotides long. RefSeq lists it as uncharacterized. The transcript is spliced from 3 exons. The record is from RefSeq and is a predicted model, not a curated record. NCBI's taxonomy places the organism in Eukaryota, Viridiplantae, Streptophyta, Magnoliopsida, Cucurbitales, Cucurbitaceae.
CAACUGCAGAGUACAUGGGUGAGCAGCAUAAGCACCGACGAUGGGUCCUCGACACAGGAGCAACAAACCGUAUGACCGGGGCCAGGUCUG